GAUGAACGCUGACAGAAUGCUUAACACAUGCAAGUCAACUUGAACUUCGGUUUGGGUGGCGGACGGGUGAGUAACGCGUAAAGAACUUGCCUCACAGAUAGGGACAACAUUUGGAAACGAAUGCUAAUACCUGAUAUUAUGAUUUUAGGGCAUCCUAAGAUUAUGAAAGCUAUAUGCGCUGUGAGAGAGCUUUGCGUCCCAUUAGCUAGUUGGAGAGGUAACGGCUCACCAAGGCGAUGAUGGGUAGCCGGCCUGAGAGGGUGAUCGGCCACAAGGGGACUGAGACACGGCCCUUACUCCUACGGGAGGCAGCAGUGGGGAAUAUUGGACAAUGGACCAAGAGUCUGAUCCAGCAAUUCUGUGUGCACGAUGAAGUUUUUCGGAAUGUAAAGUGCUUUCAGUUGGGAAGAAAAAAAUGACGGUACCAACAGAAGAAGUGACGGCUAAAUACGUGCCAGCAGCCGCGGUAAUACGUAUGUCACAAGCGUUAUCCGGAUUUAUUGGGCGUAAAGCGCGUCUAGGUGGUUAUGUAAGUCUGAUGUGAAAAUGCAGGGCUCAACUUUGUAUUGCGUUGGAAACUGUGUAACUAGAGUACUGGAGAGGUAAGCGGAACUACAAGUGUAGAGGUGAAAUUCGUAGAUAUUUGUAGGAAUGCCGAUGGGGAAGCCAGCUUACUGGACAGAUACUGACGCUGAAGCGCGAAAGCGUGGGUAGCAAACAGG
This 722-nucleotide ribosomal RNA is filed under the name uncultured Fusobacterium sp. RNAcentral's name for it is "bacterial SSU rRNA". It matches the Rfam family "Bacterial small subunit ribosomal RNA", at positions 28 to 776 of the family's 1533-position model. Lineage: Bacteria; Fusobacteriati; Fusobacteriota; Fusobacteriia; Fusobacteriales; Fusobacteriaceae. The record is from RNAcentral.